RNAcentral lists this long non-coding RNA (1096 nucleotides) under Bactrocera latifrons. RNAcentral's name for it is "uncharacterized LOC108971714, transcript variant X2". Lineage: Eukaryota; Metazoa; Arthropoda; Insecta; Diptera; Tephritidae. The record is from RNAcentral.
GGUUAAAUUAAAAGUGUGGUAAACCAAAUAUACAGUGCGGUGAAGUGCAAAAACAAAAGAAAAACAAUGUACAAUGCAAAAUUAAUAUAACACAAAAACAACAACGUCAAAAUAAACACAACUCUAACAUUACUAACAAAUUAAAUAGGGCGUGAAACUUAAAAAAUAUACUCGUGGAGUCAGUUAAACUAAAUACAAAUAAAGCUACAAAAACCAACAACAAAUUGAGCAGCGGAAUAGAAGCGACUGAACAACAGAAAGCCCACAGCACCCGUUUUUAUCUAAUUUAACUCCCCAGAAUCGCUGAGAGGAAUCAAACUCCCUCCCGCACUUAUGCCAACAAAUUUUCCAGUCAUCAUAGCACUUGGAAGAAGCCUCCGUCGUGAUGUCAAUCAGAGCCUCCUUCGAUUCAACUUUUAUGUCCUCAAUUAAGUCAAAACGGUGUCCGCAGGAGUAGUCAUGUAAAUUUGCUGAAUAGCUAGAAGUUACACGAACAUAAAUCAGACGAAACUUUAGUGGUUGUGCAGCAAUAUAAAAUUCCUGGAGUUAUUGGAUGCGUUGAUGGUACCCACAUAAACGAGCACAUGUACAUCAAUAAAAAAUGUUACCAUAGUAUUAACGCUAUGGUAAUAUGUGAUCACACUUACAAAAUUUUGGCUAUUAACUGUCAGGUGUUGGUGCAGCCCACGACUCAUUUGUUUGAAAACACUCGGACCAAAGAAGAGUUUUGGAGGAACGACUGCGGCACAACAGGAAUGAAAAUUCAUGGGGGAUUCUGCCUACCCAUUGGAACCAUGGUGCAUAACGCCUUAUAGAAACGCUUCGGAUGGUGCAAGUGAAGCUAUGUUCCAUGAAAUUCAUUCUAAGGCAAGAAGUUUCGUCGAACGAACUAUCGGAAUUUUAAAGGUACGCUGGAGAAUUUUAGGAUAUGGCAAGAAAGGAAGGCACCAUACGAGAAAAGUGUCCUCAGAAUUGCGAUUUUGAUCAAAGAACAGAUAUCGACACUGGGGUAGCGAACCGCCUCAUCGCAAUUGGGCAAACAAUAAGAGAUCAAAUAAAGUACUCUUUGAUAAAUUGAAAAUGAAAAUGUCUUUCA